Danio rerio (zebrafish) is the source of this 1556-nucleotide non-coding RNA. The record is from Ensembl. NCBI's taxonomy places the organism in Eukaryota, Metazoa, Chordata, Actinopteri, Cypriniformes, Danionidae.
UAAUAGCAGUUUAUGUGUGAUUUUAUCAUGUACUGUAGAUCAUAUGAUAAAUGUUGUUUCUCCAGAACUGUACUGAGUGAGAAAACAACCGUCCUCAAGCCAAAAUCUCCAGAGAAGACCAAACCCGAUGAAAAAGACCCUGAGAAAUCUCCUGCCAAAAAUCUUGAAGGACGGGACCAGCAACCAGAUCCUGUGGUCCCCACGAGCCGCUUUAUUGAGCUGAAGACACUGCUCGUGAGCAAUCUGCACCCAAUGGUCACCGAACAACAGCUUAUUGAAAAGUUUGGUGCAUUGGGGUCCAUCUCGACUGUGCAAGUGUGCAGAAACAACAUCAUCUCUCCUGCUUAUGCCUUUGUGACUUUCCAUCAUCGACGUGAUGCAGUGCGAGCACAAAAAGCUCUGAACUUCACUGAUUUACUGAAUAAACCUCUGAUCAUCAUGUGGGGCCCAGACAAGACAAUUGAGGUGCUCUCAUAUAAUGACAGCAGCUCUCCAAGACAAACAGAGGAGAGAGAGACAGCUGGAGAAACAGAGGAGAGAAAGACCAGUGAAGAAAUAGAGAGAGAGGCCGCUGGAGAUACAGAGGAGAGAAAGACCAGUGGAGAAACAGAGAGAGAGGCUGCUGGUGAAACAAAGGAGAGAGCGAACAGCGAGUCUUCAUGGGGAAGAAGGAUCUCCAACAAUGUGAAAAGUGCUAUGAAAGCUGCGGUGAGCAGUCCAGCAGCCUGGGUCGGAGUCGGCAUAGGUGUUUGUGCUGCUUAUGCCUACUUCAGGAGCAGGAGCUAGUGUGGACACAUUCUAAAAGACGAGAAGGCCUGCCUCACGAUCUCCACUCAUCAUCCCCAGAGUGACCAAUCACUGCUCCAGAAAGAACUUGAUUUCCCCAGCAGGCCAAACACUUGCAAUAAAUGUGAAUUGAAUAAACUGUCUUGUGUGUGUCUCAUUCAGCAUUAAAGCUCAGCCUUGUAAUUUAUAUUCAUCCAAGAGAAGCAUAACAGCACUUUGUUCCAGACACAGAAGUAAACAAUAGGAUUUUCUUCACAUCUAUUGAUGUGUUAGACAAUAACUUAUAGAACGUUUGAGAAGAAGGACUGCAUCAAAGAACAAUCAAAUGUAGAAUUGCAAAUCAGGAUUUCAAUUAUAAUGUACAGUGGGUUCUAAUAAUGUCUGUACAGGAAGAUAUUCUAAAGAACGUCGGAAAAAAGCAGCUGUUGACUUCCAUAGUAUUUUUGGUUCCUACUAUUGUGGGUUUUUUUCGGUACCACUUUAUUUUGAUGGUCCAUUUGAGUAUUAGUAGACUGUCUGCUUAAUAUCUGCUGAUUCUGCUCCUUCAACAGACAUUUAACUGACUGUAAGAAACUUUGCAAGUGCAUGUCAACUUACCCUAACCCCAACCCAACAGUCUAAUGAAAAUUAGUUGGCAUGUACUGUAGAUGCAAUGUAACUUAAAUUCAACAAACUGACCAUCAAAAUAAAGUUUGGCUGUUUUUCUUUUACAACAUUCUUCAAAAUAUCUUCUUUUGUGUUCAACAGAAGAAAGAAAUUCAAGGUUUGAG